CCGAGUGCGGGUCCUCAGCGGCCCAACCUCCCACCCUUGUCUCUAUACACCUGUUGCUUUGGCGGGCCCACUGGGGCCACCUGGUCGCCGGGGGACGCAUGUCCCCGGGCCCGCGCCCGCCGAAGCGCUCUGUGAACCCUGAUGAAGAUGGGCUGUCUGAGUACCUAUGAAAAUUGUCA
This 179-nucleotide unclassified non-coding RNA is filed under the name soil metagenome. Its description in RNAcentral is "partial internal transcribed spacer 1". The record is from RNAcentral.